This 253-nucleotide ribosomal RNA is filed under the name uncultured bacterium. RNAcentral's name for it is "partial 16S ribosomal RNA". It matches the Rfam family "Bacterial small subunit ribosomal RNA", at positions 524 to 776 of the family's 1533-position model. The record is from RNAcentral.
UACGUAGGGUGCGAGCGUUAAUCGGAAUUACUGGGCGUAAAGCGUGCGCAGGCGGUUUUGUAAGCCAGAUGUGAAAUCCCCGGGCUUAACCUGGGAAUGGCAUUUGGGACUGCAAGGCUGGAGUGUGGCAGAGGAGACUGGAAUUCCCGGUGUAGCAGUGAAAUGCGUAGAUAUCAGGAGGAACACCGGUGGCGAAGGCGGUUCUCUGGGCAUUACCUGACGCUGAGGAGCGAAAGUGUGGGGAGCAAACAGG